AUCCGAAUCCAUCUUCUCUGUGUGUGGGGGCUUGGGCCUGGCCUCAGGGCUGGGGUGAGAGCCUAUGGCUCUUUCCAAGUCACUGGUGGUUUCUAGACCCCCAGGCAAUCCCUGAGCUGGAAGGCAUUGAAAUCCUCAACUCAAGUGCUGUGCUGGUCAAGUGGCGGCCGGUGGACCUGGCCCAGGUCAAGGGCCACCUCCGCGGAUACAAUGUGACGUACUGGAGGGAGGGCAGUCAGAGGAAGCACAGCAAGAGACAUAUCCACAAAGACCAUGUGGUGGUGCCCGCCAACACUACCAGUGUCAUCCUCAGUGGCUUGCGGCCCUAUAGCUCCUACCACCUGGAGGUGCAGGCCUUUAACGGGCGAGGAUUGGGGCCCGCCAGCGAGUUCACCUUCAGCACCCCAGAGGGAGUGCCUGGCCACCCCGAGGCGUUGCACCUGGAGUGCCAGUCGAACACCAGCCUGCUGCUGCGCUGGCAGCCCCCACUCAGCCACAACGGCGUGCUCACCGGCUACGUGCUCUCCUAUCACCCCCUGGAUGAGGGGGGCAAGGGGCAGCUGUCCUU
RNAcentral lists this small RNA (568 nucleotides) under Pongo abelii (Sumatran orangutan). Its description in RNAcentral is "retained intron". Lineage: Eukaryota; Metazoa; Chordata; Mammalia; Primates; Hominidae. The record is from RNAcentral.